CUUACCUUCUUUUUAAUACCAGUUCUUUUAGGACCAGAAUUUGUCUUCUCUCUGUCUUUCAGGUACCCGAGGAGGAAAAUGCAGACCUAACCACUGUGCCUGGCAGUAUCCCUCCUCGCCUUGGCUGUUUUUGCAGGACAUCUGUGGCACCCUCAACAUCACUGCUUUGGGCAGCUGUUCUCCUCUUGCUUACAACCUCAGUAGUCUCUGAGUGCUUUAUCACAUGUUAUGACUGGGAGCGCACAUUUAUAACUUUAAGUUAUCAGACGGCUCCUGUAUUCCUCCUUAGCAAUUUUUAGGUCCGUGGCAGUCCAGCUAGCCUUGAGAGCUGGCUGUGGACUGAAUCUCCUAUAUGCGUCCGAGUGGUUAGUAAGCAAAUACAGUGAAGUUAGGAAUGACUCCUUUUGGAGUGAGGAUGCACAGCCUUGGACCAUUCAAUACCAACAAGUUCUUUACUAUGAGAAUGAUAUACAUAGGCAUAUCUGUGGUCAGUAGCGAGGUCGAGUAGAAGGAAUAUACAGUCUUUUGAGAUCAGUGUGUUCAGCUUUCCUUUCCAUUACCCAUCACCUAAGUCCUGUGCAUUCAUGUUGUCUGAGUUGUCUGAGGUCUUUUGGAAAAUUCCUAGUGCAGUUCAGAGAAUUAACAGCCUAAAAAAAGGAUGUAGGAGGAAAGCAACAACCAAGAAAAAUCCCAACAGCAUCAACUUGAGGCAAGGAAGCAAUGGCUUGAAAUGAUGGCAGUGUCACCCAGCAGCCCGCACAGUGACCUGAUUGGUUGGCCUCAUUGUCUGGGUCUGUUAAAAACCACAAUGAUGAGAAAAGAACAUUUGCAUGGUUUCUGUGCUGUGUCAGUGCAGCCCUGAGGAGAGGUGUGGAGAUGGUUUGUCAGGGAGAAGGGAUUUCCCUUCCGAUCGGAAAGUGCCUGAGGAAUGUUUGCAUCCUGUGCGUUGGUGUGUAACCGCUCCAUGCCCCACACGCUUCUGAAUGGGCAGCACAGCUUUUGUGUCACUCAGCCAUCUGUGGUAGAGCAGAUCAGGUUUUCUGCAGGUGUGGG
RNAcentral lists this long non-coding RNA (1053 nucleotides) under Gallus gallus (chicken). RNAcentral describes it as "long non-coding RNA NONGGAT003211". The record is from RNAcentral. Lineage: Eukaryota; Metazoa; Chordata; Aves; Galliformes; Phasianidae.